Molecule: ribosomal RNA, 301 nt
Filed under: uncultured bacterium
Lineage: Bacteria
Description: partial 16S ribosomal RNA
Rfam family: Bacterial small subunit ribosomal RNA
Source: RNAcentral
CAGUAGCCGCGGUAAUACGAAGGGUGCAAGCGUUAAUCGGAAUUACUGGGCGUAAAGCGUGCGUAGGCGGUGAGUUAAGUCUGCUGUGAAAUCCCCGGGCUCAACCUGGGAAUGGCAGUGGAUACUGGCUCGCUAGAGUGUGGCAGAGGAUGGUGGAAUUCCCGGUGUAGCGGUGAAAUGCGUAGAUAUGCGGAGGAACACCGAUGGCGAAGGCAAUCCCCUGGACCUGUACUGACGCUCAUGCACGAAAGCGUGGGGAGCAAACAGGAUUAGAUACCCCGGUAGUCCCUGUCUCUUAUAC